CCUACGGGUGGCUGCAGUGGGGAAUCUUGGACAAUGGGGGGAACCCUGAUCCAGCCAUGCCGCGUGUGUGAAGAAGGCCCUCGGGUUGUAAAGCACUUUCAGUGAGGAAGAACGCCUGGUGGUUAAUACCCAUCAGGAAAGACAUCACUCACAGAAGAAGCACCGGCUAACUCCGUGCCAGCAGCCGCGGUAAUACGGAGGGUGCGAGCGUUAAUCGGAAUUACUGGGCGUAAAGCGCGCGUAGGUGGCUUGAUAAGCCGGUUGUGAAAGCCCCGGGCUCAACCUGGGAACGGCAUCCGGAACUGUCAAGCUAGAGUGCAGGAGAGGAAGGUAGAAUUCCCGGUGUAGCGGUGAAAUGCGUAGAGAUCGGGAGGAAUACCAGUGGCGAAGGCGGCCUUCUGGACUGACACUGACACUGAGGUGCGAAAGCGUGGGUAGCAAACAGGAUUAGAUACCCGAGUAGUC
Molecule: ribosomal RNA, 465 nt
Filed under: Vreelandella stevensii
Lineage: Bacteria; Pseudomonadati; Pseudomonadota; Gammaproteobacteria; Oceanospirillales; Halomonadaceae
Description: partial 16S ribosomal RNA
Rfam family: Bacterial small subunit ribosomal RNA
Source: RNAcentral